CACCUAUCUCUCUCUCUGCUCUGUGUCAUCUGUGCUCUCUGGGCACCAUCUCAGAAUUCAAUGCGCUAUACUUACUCGGGAGAAGCAAGUGAAGAGUUUGACAAGGAUGAUAAUACUUUGACACUCAUAAAACCAUCUCCUAUGCCUUCAAAGGAUAUUCGAAGUCCACUUGAAGUCGGAUCAGUACCCGGUGGAAACAAUAGGGUAUCGAACGGUGAUUUGGAAGAAGACGAGACAGAAUAAUUUGAAACCCAACUCUGUUUGAUUGUGAGAAGCUAUUUAACUCCGAAUGAUCAUCAUGAUGGAUAUGAAGUUGCUACAUGUAGAAUUUAUGUGA
Molecule: non-coding RNA, 337 nt
Organism: Camellia sinensis
Lineage: Eukaryota; Viridiplantae; Streptophyta; Magnoliopsida; Ericales; Theaceae
Source: RefSeq, a predicted model, not a curated record